RNAcentral lists this ribosomal RNA (396 nucleotides) under uncultured bacterium. Its description in RNAcentral is "partial 16S ribosomal RNA". It matches the Rfam family "Bacterial small subunit ribosomal RNA", at positions 515 to 911 of the family's 1533-position model. The record is from RNAcentral.
CCGCGGUAAUACGGAGGGGGUUAGCGUUGUUCGGAAUUACUGGGCGUAAAGCGUACGUAGGNNNNNNAAUAAGUUAGAGGUGAAAUCCCAGGGCUCAACCCUGGAACUGCCUUUAAAACUGUUAGUCUUGAGAUCGAGAGAGGUGAGUGGAAUUCCAAGUGUANAGGUGAAAUUCGUAGAUAUUUGGAGGAACACCAGUGGCGAAGGCGGCUCACUGGCUCGAUACUGACGCUGAGGUACGAAAGUGUGGGGAGCAAACAGGAUUAGAUACCCUGGUAGUCCACACCGUAAACNNUNNNNGCCAGACGUCAGCAAGCAUGCUUGUUGGUGUCACACCUAACGGAUUAAGCAUUCCGCCUGGGGAGUACGGUCGCAAGAUUAAAACUCAAAGGAAUU